AGGGAUCAUUACUGAGUGAGGGCUCCGGCCCGACCUCCAACCCCAUGUGAACCGAAACCUGUUGCUUCGGGGGCGACCCUGCCUUUACGCGAGGCGCCCCCGGAGGCUCAUCAAACCCUGCAUCUUUGCGUCGGAGUCUUAAUGAAUUUAAACAAAACUUUUAACAACGGAUCUCUUGGUUCUG
Molecule: unclassified non-coding RNA, 184 nt
Filed under: uncultured fungus
Lineage: Eukaryota; Fungi
Description: partial contains 18S rRNA, ITS1, 5.8S rRNA, ITS2 and 28S rRNA
Source: RNAcentral